Molecule: ribosomal RNA, 262 nt
Filed under: uncultured bacterium
Lineage: Bacteria
Description: partial 16S ribosomal RNA
Rfam family: Bacterial small subunit ribosomal RNA
Source: RNAcentral
GUCCACGCCGUAAACGGUGGGCACUAGGUGUGGGUCACAUUCCACGUGAUCCGUGCCGCAGCUAACGCAUUAAGUGCCCCGCCUGGGGAGUACGGCCGCAAGGCUAAAACUCAAAGGAAUUGACGGGGGCCCGCACAAGCGGCGGAGCAUGCGGCUUAAUUCGACGCAACGCGAAGAACCUUACCAAGGCUUGACAUAUACAGGAAUAUGGCAGAGAUGUCAUAGCCGCAAGGUCUGUAUACAGGUGGUGCAUGGUUGUCGU